Molecule: ribosomal RNA, 316 nt
Filed under: uncultured eukaryote
Lineage: Eukaryota
Description: partial 18S ribosomal RNA
Rfam family: Eukaryotic small subunit ribosomal RNA
Source: RNAcentral
CCCUUAGAUGUCCUGGGCCGCACGCGCGCUACACUGACAUGUUCAACAAGCCUCCUAGUUCGACAGGAUUUGGGAAAUCUUUGAACGCAUGUCGUGAUAGGGAUAGAUCAUUGCAAUUAUUGAUCUUGAACGAGGAAUUCCUAGUAAACGCGAGUCAUCAGCUCGCAUUGAUUACGUCCCUGCCCUUUGUACACACCGCCCGUCGCUCCUACCGAUGGGUGAUCCGGUGAAUGAUUCGGACUUCAGCGGCUCCCCUGGGGUGCGCCGGAGAAAGUUUUGUGAACCUUAUCACUUGGAGGAAGGAGAAGUCGUAACA